UGGUCUGACGGUUAAUUAUAGCGAUGAUUGUUUCGGUGUUUCUUCGUAAACGAUCUCGAAGAGGGAUGAAUUGAGAAGCGAAUCGGCGUCGCGUUUCUUUACUAAGGUAUUGAUUUAUAAAUUAUUCUGCAAUUUUCGCAUUCUUGAAUCUUGAUAAUCCAAGAAGCUUCUGCAAUUUUCGUAUUCUUGAAAACCCUAAAAGAAAGUUGUAUGAUAU
This 217-nucleotide long non-coding RNA is filed under the name Trifolium pratense (red clover). RNAcentral's name for it is "long non-coding RNA (TPRA_LNC014361)". The record is from RNAcentral. Lineage: Eukaryota; Viridiplantae; Streptophyta; Magnoliopsida; Fabales; Fabaceae.